AACGAACGCUGGCGGCAUGCCUAACACAUGCAAGUCGAACGAGACCUUCGGGUCUAGUGGCGCACGGGUGCGUAACGCGUGGGAACCUGCCCUUAGGUUCGGAAUAACUCCCCGAAAGGGGUGCUAAUACCGGAUAAUGUCUUCGGACCAAAGAUUUAUCGCCUUUGGAUGGGCCCGCGUUGGAUUAGCUAGUUGGUAGGGUAAAAGCCUACCAAGGCGACGUUCCAUAGCUGGUCUGAGAGGAUGAUCAGCCACACUGGGACUGAGACACGGCCCAGACUCCUACGGGAGGCAGCAGUGGGGAAUAUUGGACAGUGGGCGAAAGCCUGAUCCAGCAAUGCCGCGUGAGUGAUGAAGGCCUUAGGGUUGUAAAGCUCUUUUACCCGGGAUGAUAAUGACAGUACCGGGAGAAUAAGCUCCGGCUAACUCCGUG
RNAcentral lists this ribosomal RNA (433 nucleotides) under uncultured bacterium. RNAcentral describes it as "partial 16S ribosomal RNA". It matches the Rfam family "Bacterial small subunit ribosomal RNA", at positions 29 to 507 of the family's 1533-position model. The record is from RNAcentral.